Molecule: small nuclear RNA, 104 nt
Organism: Phyllostomus hastatus (greater spear-nosed bat)
Lineage: Eukaryota; Metazoa; Chordata; Mammalia; Chiroptera; Phyllostomidae
Source: RefSeq, a predicted model, not a curated record
GUGCUCGCUUUGGCACCACAUAUACUAAAAUUGGAAUGAUACAGAGGUUAGCAUGGCCCCUGCGCAAGGAUGAAAUGCAAAUUUGUGAAGCAUUCCAUAUUUUU